GUGCUCGCUUCGGCAGCACAUAUACUAAAAUUGGAACGAUACACGAAGAUUAGCAUGGCCCCUGCGCAAGAAUGGAAACCAUUGAACUUCCUAACACCUACAAUCUUGUU
Molecule: small nuclear RNA, 110 nt
Organism: Suncus etruscus (white-toothed pygmy shrew)
Lineage: Eukaryota; Metazoa; Chordata; Mammalia; Eulipotyphla; Soricidae
Source: RefSeq, a predicted model, not a curated record